Long non-coding RNA from Bos taurus (domestic cattle), 1891 nucleotides. Lineage: Eukaryota; Metazoa; Chordata; Mammalia; Artiodactyla; Bovidae. The record is from Ensembl.
AGUCGCCAGCCGGGCCCAGCAUUGUCCUGCUUUUCCUCUGCUCUGGUCUCUCCGCCCACUGCUCGCGGUCGUGGGGAGGGGUGCGGAUGCGGGCGCCGUGCCCGCGCUGCUCCGGGCCGGCGGCGCACCCCUAGACUCCGUGCCUGCCUGAGCCGGAGUCUACCCCCACCGACCCCGCAGCCGCCGCCCGUCGGGGCCAGGGAGCGUCUUUGCAGCUCUCCCGUCUCCGCACCCGCGCAGGCUGCCUGGGUGCUGAGCUCUUCUUUGUAACUUUUCUUUGCCUAUUGAUGGAAGUUAUGGCUUCCGGGCGGCAGGUUCUUUGGGCAAAACAUCGUUUCCUGCGUUUUGGAAAGGCUCACUUCUAGGACGAAAUGGUUCUUGAUUGCUGUCGGACUUUUCCUCCCAUCCUAGUUUCAUUCCUGGCAUCUAAAAUCGUUUCUUUUGUGGAUUUGCACUGUAAGGGAGCAUUAACCUCUCUUCAGUUCAGUUCAGUCGCUCAGUCGUGUCCGACUCUUUGCGACCCCAUGAACUGCAGCAUGCCAGGCCUCCCUGUCCAUCACCAACUCCCGGAGUUCACUCAAACUCACGUCCAUCGAGUCGGUGAUGCCAUCCAGCCGUCUCAUCCUCUGUCGUUCCCUUUUAGGUCAAGAUAAUUUGGAAAAAAAAAAAAACAGGGGUGCUGAUGAGGAGCAAGAGCUCUUUGUAGUGAGAAUUUGCCUUCACCUUUGAACUGUGGAAAGUGUUACCUCGACUGACUGGCGGAGAUUCUUUUGGAAGGAAAAAGAAACGUUGCAAAACAAAAAACUUCAGAUUGCUAGGGUCUAUAGGAUUAGGCGGAAAAAAUAGAAUUUCGAUAGAAAUAAAGUUAGUUUAACUAUUCUGUCCAGCAGAUACCUUCCGUAAAGUUAGUUUCUGCUACCGAACCCAUAGACAUUAUAGUUAGUAACAGCAGCUUGUACUAUUGAUAAACAAGAAAUUUUUCCCCCUCCAUCUUAAGCAUUAGUGCUAUUCUAUACCUGUCAAUCCCUGGAGAAGGGACUGGCAACCCACUCCAGUAUUCUUGCCUGGAGAAUUCCACAGAUAGAGGAGCCUGACGGGCUCCAGUCCAUGGGGUCGCCAAGAAUCGGACACGACUGAGCGACUAAUACACAUACCUGUCAAAACAUGCUAAAGAAGUUACAUUUAGAAACAGUACAUCCUUGUUAGAAACCUUAUUUAGAAAAGGAAUAUUUUCAUGAGCAUUCAUUUUUGACAGUUUCUUCUUGUGCAAUACUUUGUAGAGUACUUGCAUGUGCAAGUUACAAGCCUAUAAACAAAGUUGCGGUGGGUGUGUUAUUAUGUAGUCUGUUUUUGGCUGCUGCUGCUGCUAAAUCGCUUCAGUCAUGUCCGACUUUGUGCGACCCCACAGACGGCAGCCUACCAGAAUCCCAGGGACGGGGGAGCCUAGUGGGCUGCCAUCUAUGGGGUCACACAGAGUCGGACAUGACUGAAGUGACUUAGCAGCAGCAGAGGUCAUCAGUGACACUGGCAGCAGUCCUGUGCAUAGAAGAUGGGAGGGAAUGGAAUUGUGAGGUGCUGAAAUGCUGACUAGAGAGAAUUGUCUGGAAGAUGUUAAUUAUAAAUGGGAACAGAUUAACAGGGCCAUACUGACAGGGAAAGUUUUGUGGUCAAGGAGGGCUUACCCCCUUUUAUUCUUUUUAAGUUGAGUGAUCCUUAUGGUAUGUUUGAUACUGAUGGGCCUGAUCCCUAAGGAAUGGAGAGAAAACAUGUAAGAUUUUUGUCACCUUACGUUGAUAUUCUCCAUUUUAAAAAGCAAUCCACAGCUGGUUGGGGUUGGGUUAGAAGUUUUCUCGACCCCACCCUCUUCAGAGAACAUUUGUAAUUUUCUUUU